Molecule: ribosomal RNA, 26 nt
Filed under: Dasysiphonia japonica
Lineage: Eukaryota; Rhodophyta; Florideophyceae; Ceramiales; Dasyaceae
Description: partial 5.8S ribosomal RNA
Source: RNAcentral
CCCGCGAGCAUGUCUGUUUGAGUGUC